AGGAACUCGUGAAAUGCCAUCCUCGACCUGCCACGCGCGAACCCCUUUACUACCAACUACCAAACGAAACGAAGGCACAGGAAACAGAGCCACCAUCGCAGCCAUGGCGAAGCGAGUCGGCAGCCGGAACUCGAACGAGUCCGCAUUGACUCGGGGCGUCAAGUCGGUCUUUCGCUUCGUUCGAUUCGCCGAGUUCGAAAUCCUCUUUGUUCUUUUCUUCGUAAUCGCUUUCAUCAUUUUCAAAGAUCUCACAUCAAAGCCGGAAUACAGUCAGAUUCUCGUAAAAAAGCCCGGUGGCGUUAGUAUUUGGCCUUACUAGCGGAAUAUGUCAUCGUUGGAUAAACAUUUGGUAUAUCAUUCGGAUUUUCUUGAACUUUUUUGUAACACAACAGAUUAUCUUGCCAUCCAUGCAUUUGUAUUUGUAUCUGUACAUGUAAUUAUAUGACGAUUAAACAACAGCUUUCAAUA
Pyrus x bretschneideri (Chinese white pear) is the source of this 468-nucleotide RNA transcript. RefSeq lists it as uncharacterized. The record is from RefSeq and is a predicted model, not a curated record. The transcript has 2 exons. Lineage: Eukaryota; Viridiplantae; Streptophyta; Magnoliopsida; Rosales; Rosaceae.